Molecule: long non-coding RNA, 221 nt
Filed under: Lathyrus oleraceus (garden pea)
Lineage: Eukaryota; Viridiplantae; Streptophyta; Magnoliopsida; Fabales; Fabaceae
Description: Pisum sativum (pea) long non-coding RNA (PSAT_LNC010656)
Source: RNAcentral
CGAAACAAAACACACACACAGACGCUGAGACGUCAAAAGAAACACACAAAUGGAAACAGACUACCAAUGGUUGGUCUUACGUCUGACUCCACACAAACAAACACCAAUAGGAUACGGAAUGCCAAUCGCUGGUCUUACAUCCAUCUCCUAACACACACAAGAAGGUUAACAAACAGACAAGUUAAUAGGGAGUCUGGAACUCGAGCCUAAUAACUGUCAAG